UUUUAUUUGCUGAUUUCAUAAAUUUUAAUUUUUAAACUAGGAUUAGAUACCCUAUUAUUCUGAAAUGUAUUUUUUAACACUUAGGUAGUAUUAGUUAUGUUCUUGAAACUUAAAAAAUUUGGCGGUAUUUUAGUCUGUUCAGAGGAACCUGUUGUUUAAUCGAUAGUCCACGUUGGAUCUUACUUUAUUUUGUUCUAGUUUGUAUACCGCCGUUAUUGAAUAUUUUAUUAGAGUAAUAAUUUUCAAUUGUUUUUAUUUAAAUUAAUAUCAGGUCAAGGUGCAGCUUAUAAUAAAGUAUUAAAUGGGUUACAAUAAAUUUAUUUUCGGAUUCUAUAUUUAAAUAUUUAGUUGAAGAUGGAUUUGAUAGUAAAAUUAUGGAGAU
Molecule: ribosomal RNA, 382 nt
Filed under: Polysarca neptis
Lineage: Eukaryota; Metazoa; Arthropoda; Insecta; Diptera; Asilidae
Description: partial small subunit ribosomal RNA
Source: RNAcentral